This 72-nucleotide transfer RNA is filed under the name Marmota marmota marmota (Alpine marmot). It matches the Rfam family "tRNA". Rfam says of the family: Transfer RNA (tRNA) molecules are approximately 80 nucleotides in length. Their secondary structure includes four short double-helical elements and three loops (D, anti-codon, and T loops). RNAcentral also lists the same sequence under 1 other name. The record is from Rfam by way of RNAcentral. Lineage: Eukaryota; Metazoa; Chordata; Mammalia; Rodentia; Sciuridae.
GGUGAUAUAGCUCAAUGGUAGAGCACUUGCCUAGCAUGCAUGAGAGACUGAGUUUGAUCCUUAAUACCAUAA